Molecule: RNase P RNA, 264 nt
Filed under: Bacteroidales bacterium
Lineage: Bacteria; Pseudomonadati; Bacteroidota; Bacteroidia; Bacteroidales
Description: partial RNase P RNA component class A
Rfam family: Bacterial RNase P class A
About the family: Ribonuclease P (RNase P) is a ubiquitous endoribonuclease, found in archaea, bacteria and eukarya as well as chloroplasts and mitochondria. Its best characterised activity is the generation of mature 5'-ends of tRNAs by cleaving the 5'-leader elements of precursor-tRNAs. Cellular RNase Ps are ribonucleoproteins.
Source: RNAcentral
AAAACAGUCCGGAUUGUCGCUGCCCGCAAGGGGAGAGGAAAGUCCGGGCAACACAGAGCCACCAUACUUCCUAACGGGAAGGCGUCCGCGAGGGCGACAGACAGUGCCACAGAAAACAAACCGCCGCCGGGCAACCGUCGGUAAGGGUGAAAACGCGAGGUAAGAGCUCACGCUUGGCUUAGCGAUAAGUCCAAGGGUAAACCUUAUGGGUUGAAAGAUCAAAUAUACCGUAUGCCAAGGCGGGCUCGGCCGAUGACGGGGGGU